Molecule: ribosomal RNA, 207 nt
Filed under: uncultured bacterium
Lineage: Bacteria
Description: partial 16S ribosomal RNA
Rfam family: Bacterial small subunit ribosomal RNA
Source: RNAcentral
UGCGUAGGUGGUGAGGUAAGUCGGAUGUGAAAUCUCCGGGCUCAACCCGGAAAUGGCAUUGGAAACUACCUUGCUGGAGGGUUUGAGGGGGGAUUGGAAUACUUGGUGUAGCAGUGAAAUGCGUAGAUAUCAAGUGGAACACCAGUGGCGAAGGCGAAUCCCUGGAAAAUACCUGACACUGAGGCACGAAAGCUAGGGGAGCAAACA